GUGGGGAAUUUUGGACAAUGGGCGCAAGCCUGAUCCAGCAAUGCCGCGUGUGUGAAGAAGGCCUUCGGGUUGUAAAGCACUUUUGUCCGGAAAGAAAUCUCCUGGGUUAAUACCUCGGGGGGAUGACGGUACCGGAAGAAUAAGCACCGGCUAACUACGUGCCAGCAGCCGCGGUAAUACGUAGGGUGCGAGCGUUAAUCGGAAUUACUGGGCGUAAAGCGUGCGCAGGCGGCUAUGCAAGACAGAUGUGAAAUCCCCGGGCUCAACCUGGGAACUGCAUUUGUGACGGCAUGGCUAGAGUGCGUCAGAGGGAGGUGGAAUUCCGCGUGUAGCAGUGAAAUGCGUAGAGAUGCGGAGGAACACCGAUGGCGAAGGCAGCCUCCUGGGAUGACACUGACGCUCAUGCACGAAAGCGUGGGGAGCAAACAGGAUUAGAUACCCCGGUAGUCC
RNAcentral lists this ribosomal RNA (450 nucleotides) under uncultured bacterium. RNAcentral describes it as "partial 16S ribosomal RNA". It matches the Rfam family "Bacterial small subunit ribosomal RNA", at positions 354 to 796 of the family's 1533-position model. The record is from RNAcentral.